Coregonus clupeaformis (lake whitefish) is the source of this 426-nucleotide long non-coding RNA. RefSeq lists it as uncharacterized. Lineage: Eukaryota; Metazoa; Chordata; Actinopteri; Salmoniformes; Salmonidae. The record is from RefSeq and is a predicted model, not a curated record. The transcript is spliced from 3 exons.
AUGAACCAGGUAGGGUUAGGGUAACAACUAUGUCCUGAUGAACCAGGUAGGGUAACAACUAUGUCCUGAUGAACCAGGUAGGGUUAGGGUAACAACUAUGUCCUGAUGAACCAGGUAGGGUUAGGGUAACAACUAUGUCCUGAUGAACCAGGUAGGGUUAGGGUAACAACUAUGUCCUGAUGAACCAGGUAGGGUUAGGGUAACAACUAUGUCCUGAUGAACCAGGUAGGGGUAGGGUAACAACUAUGUCCUGAUGAACCAGGUAGGGUUAGGGUAACAACUAUGUCCUGAUGAACCAGGUAGGGUUAGGGUAACAACUAUGUCCUGAUGAACCAGGUAGGGUAACAACUAUGUCCUGAUGAACCAGGUAGGGUUAGGGUAACACCUAUGUCCUGAUGAACCAGGUAGGGUUAGGGUAACAACUAU